This 961-nucleotide long non-coding RNA is filed under the name Ovis aries (sheep). RNAcentral's name for it is "lncRNA (ENSOARG00000025219.1)". Lineage: Eukaryota; Metazoa; Chordata; Mammalia; Artiodactyla; Bovidae. The record is from RNAcentral.
AUGAAGCACUCUGCAAGUCACCGCACGCGAGUCAGAAACGAAUCUCACAGCGAGGAAAAUGCUGGAACGUUAACAGGUUUUAAUCCUAGGCGCUGUGGGGCCCCCAUCUGUCUCUCCCACCACUGCUUUAUCCCCUGCAGCCCAGGUUCUAAGCCUCGCCCAGUGACAGCAUCCUCAUCACCCAUCCUGCCACUUCAUGUGCGCAGGGCCACUGCUGUGCGCACAGCACGGAGGGCCAGAGCCUCCAUGUGUGACUUGCUGGGAGAGGCGCUGUUCCUCCCAGUGACCCUGGGGUUGGAGGGCCGACGGUGAGGUGAGCACCGUAGCAGAGACUUCUUACAAGUUUGCUCAACUCUGGGUAAGCCCAGUGGAGAACACAUGCGCUUUGUCUGGCUUCUUUGUCUGGUUUAGAGACAAUAUUUUUAAAGUUAGGCCUGUGGAGGGGAAUAGGAGUGUUUUAGGAAAUACAGUAAAACUUUUCAAAGCAAUUAAACCUAGGGCUUCUUUGUUAGAUACUUUUGAUAAAAUGUUUAUUGAAUGUCCCAUAAAUGGUGGUCUGAUAAUAAAAGAUCGUUUUUAUGUUUGUGGAACUGAAGACUAAGUUGAUUUUUUUUCUCUUGCUAUUCAUAUAUUUUAAUGAAGAGUUAAAUGCUAAUUAUUGAAUCUCCCUUUUCAUGAAGAUCUCUGUUACUCAUGUAGAUAACUGGCAAGUUCAAUAUUAAUGAAGCUUAGUUUCCCAUAGAUAAGGAAAUCUGGCAAUUAUAACUCUAUUUGCUAAAAUUUCAAAGGAGCCGGUUUUCCCUUGGGAAAGCCAUUUAUUUAUUCAUUCUAAUUUGGCAUUUAAAAUGCUGUUGUUUAUUGAAUCUUCCUCAGAGUCCUUGUGGCUUAGAAAAUCAUACUGCUAUAAAUGGAGUCUUUCCCUUUUGUUUGGUAUUUUUAGGUAGUAAAAUCUUUGCCUAUA